UACGGAGGGGGCUAGCGUUGUUCGGAAUUACUGGGCGUAAAGCGCACGUAGGCGGCUUUGUAAGUUAGAGGUGAAAGCCCGGGGCUCACCCCCGGAAGUGCAUUGGAAACUGGCGGACUCGAGUCCCGGAGAGGAGGGUGGAAUUCCUGGUGUAGCGGUGAAAUGCGUAGAUAUCAGGAGGAACACCGGUGGCGAAGGCGGCCCUCUGGACGGUGACUGACGCUGAGACGCGAAAGCGUGGGGAGCAAACAGG
Molecule: ribosomal RNA, 253 nt
Filed under: uncultured bacterium
Lineage: Bacteria
Description: partial 16S ribosomal RNA
Rfam family: Bacterial small subunit ribosomal RNA
Source: RNAcentral